AGCGAACGCUGGCGGCAGGCCUAACACAUGCAAGUCGAACGAAGUCUUCGGACUUAGUGGCGGACGGGCGAGUAACACGUGGGAACGUACCUUUUGGUUCGGAACAACUCAGGAAACUUGAGCUAAUACCGAAUGUGCCCCUAGGGGGACAGAUUUAUCGCCAUUAGAGCGGCCCGCGUUAGAUUAGCUAGUUGGUGGAGUAAAGGCCCACCAAGGCUACGAUCUAUAGCUGGUCUGAGGGGAUGAUCAGGCACACUGGGACUGAGACACGGGCCAGACUCCUACGGGAGGCAGCAGUGGGGGAUCUUGCGCAAUGGGCGAAAGCAUGACGCAGCUAUGCCGCGUGAAUGAUGAAGGUCUUAGGAUUGUACAAGUCUUUCAGUAGGGACGAUAAGGACGGUACCUACAGAAGAAGCCCCGGCUAACUUCGUGCCAGCCGCCGCAGUAA
RNAcentral lists this ribosomal RNA (448 nucleotides) under uncultured bacterium. Its description in RNAcentral is "partial 16S ribosomal RNA". It matches the Rfam family "Bacterial small subunit ribosomal RNA", at positions 29 to 523 of the family's 1533-position model. The record is from RNAcentral.